Long non-coding RNA from Bos indicus x Bos taurus (hybrid cattle), 1513 nucleotides. Lineage: Eukaryota; Metazoa; Chordata; Mammalia; Artiodactyla; Bovidae. The record is from Ensembl.
AAAAAUAAGUGUGGCCCAAGGAAUUCUGAGAAAAUACAACUGAAGGGACAGCUACCAUGGCCAGGCCCAGCUACUCCAUUAAAGAACAGCCUGCUCUAGCUGGCCUCAGUUAGUCCCUGUUGUGUAUUUGGGAAAGCGAGGGGACUUGUGGGUCCCCACUGCUCAGUUAUUCACGUGGCCAGUACUUCUCCAUGUCAUGUGUUUCUCUCUGCACGGUUGUGGGACACUGUUCGCUUUGUUUUCAGUUGUGACUUGGAUUCCGAGAGGGUGAACCCUCUCACAGUCAUUGUGAUACCACUGCAUGAAAAGGAAGUGAGGGAGUUAUGUGUAAAUAAGAAGUUAGUCCCACUUCUAAUGGACCCUAGAAACCUGUUCUGUCACCACCAUUCAAAGUUAUGUGGACAAAUCAAGGAAAUGACGGUACACUAGGGAAGAUUUAAAAACCGUCUCCUAAUUAUUACUUCUUUAUUCAUCCAAAAGAAUAGUGCCCAAGAAGUUAAAUGUGUGUGUGUUCUUCCUGUUAUUAAUCAAAAUAGUCUGUUAAGAAAAAUAGCUUGCUAAGAGGAUUUUCCAAGACCAUAGGACAUUAAAUUUCUAAACUCAUUGUAUGAAGAGUUCAUUUCAAAAUUAAAGUUUUAAAUAAUUUUCUCCCAGAAGUAGGUUUUUAAAAGCAUAGUUUUGGAAAUGGUAGAAAAGUAUGUUAAAACAAUUUAAGUAUGCCACUUUCAUUUCUGUGGCCCCCAAAUUAAUAUAACACCAUCAUUGUCAACUGAAAUAGGAGGCAUUUAAGGGGCAGAGCAGAGGGCCAUAGUUUAAGUGAUUUGAAGUUACCUUAAUAUGAUUUUAAGCUCCCGGAAUAGGGAGAGAUUUGGAACUUAAGGAUAUAUAGGGAUAUAUUAACCUUUUCUCAGAGGUUAUAUAGCAGAUAAGAAGAGCUCUAAAAAAAUUUCUGGGUCUAAUGCAGUGCGUUUAGACAAAUGCUACCUCCAAAAAAGGCAUAUGGAUGAAUAGAUUGGCCAGGAAAUUAAGGUUGAAAAUGAACACUUUUGGAAAUGAUGAGUUUGGAAAACAAAUGUAUUUUCAGAGAUGUGGAGUGGAAGAAAAAGGGAAAGAGGAUACGAUUUAUGAAGAUUUUGUGACCUGGUUCUAAACAAGGUGGACUAGUCAUGGUGAUUUGGCCUUCAGAUAGAUACUAUCAUACCAUGAUUUAUAGCCGGUGGUGUGGUUUACUCGCUAAGUUGAGACCCCAUGGACAGUAGCCCACCAGGCUCCUCUGUCCAAGGAAUUCUCCAGGCAAGAAUACUGGAGUGGAUUGCCAGUUCCUUCUCCAGGGGAUCUUCCCGACCCAGGGAUCAAACCUGGGUCUCCUGCACUGCGGGCAGAUUCUUUACCAACUGAGCUACCAGGGAAUUCCCCUGGGAGUGGGUAAAGGAUGCUAUUUGCAUUGACCGUACUACAGUCUUAUUUCAUCAGAAUUUAGAUCUUUAAAAUAAAUGGAAGACAUUUGAUGACA